AGGAAAAGAACAAACUUGAUGAAGAUUUACCAAUUCAAGAUGCUAAAGACAUGCUUGUUGGAGAUUAUUUGGGAGAAUUAUUAAUACCGCUUCUAAAGGAAGGUUGUCAACUCAUUUCAGAAAAGAGACCAGAUGAUCCAUUAGAAGAAUUAGCUGUAUUUCUAUUGAGAAUGGAUCCAAAGAGCCCCAGAAAUAUUAUCAGAUUUGCUGAAGAAGCUGAAGCAAAAAAAUUAGCAGAGGCCAGCGAAUUGGCUCAAAUUGAAGAAGAGGAAAAAUUAUUCAAAAGGAAUGAAAAGAAAAAGAAAAAAUAGAAUCUAAAGACACACAAAAAAAAAUAAUAAUAAUAACAUGAACACCACCAGUAGUAUCUAUUUUUCAAAAAAAGAUAUAAAAAAGAUAAAAGACUAAAUAAAUCAAACAUUCAAGUUCAGAUUUUCCUUGAAGUUUUGUUAUUUUCAUAGUGUUUUAAUUUUUUUUUCCUUUUAUUCUUUCAGAAUAAUCUCUUCAAUCUGGGAAUAUGUCAAAGAAUUGGGUUUUUUUAUUGUGAACUUUAUAUUGAAUGUUUUAUUUUAUAUCCAUAAAUGAUUUUUGGAAAUUGCGAUUGCAUACGUGUUUUACAUGAUAGAGGUUGAGCAACAAGA
Physcomitrium patens is the source of this 641-nucleotide long non-coding RNA. RefSeq lists it as uncharacterized. Lineage: Eukaryota; Viridiplantae; Streptophyta; Bryopsida; Funariales; Funariaceae. The record is from RefSeq and is a predicted model, not a curated record.